ACCUCCACGUAUGGGAUCCCAAGAUCUAAGUCCCCAACCUCUAUUUUUUGUUUUAAAGACCUCCACACGGGCUUUAGGACCUGCUUGAGUGAUACGAUUUCGGCAGUUCGGAGGGCAUGAACAGGCAGAACCACACUCAUAUACCAAGGUUUUGUAACUCAUGAGAACUCCAAGUGGAUUAAAGGGCAAAUAGCCUCCAUUUUUCUGAAUGCAAGGACAACUGGUUCCACCAGGUUGACAUCCACCAAGACAUUGACAGCCAACAGAUGGAUUAGACUUCAUGAAAGGUUUUGAGUACUUCAGACUUGGGAUAUAUGUGAAAUAAGCAGGUCCCUUCUCAUCAUCAACAUCAUUUACGAGACAAA
RNAcentral lists this long non-coding RNA (365 nucleotides) under Solanum lycopersicum (tomato). Its description in RNAcentral is "long non-coding RNA (SLYC_LNC000819)". Lineage: Eukaryota; Viridiplantae; Streptophyta; Magnoliopsida; Solanales; Solanaceae. The record is from RNAcentral.